UACGUAGGGGGCGAGCGUUGUUCGGAUUUAUUGGGCGUAAAGAGCGUGUAGGCGGCCAGGUAGGUCUGCUGUGAAAACCCGAGGCUCAACCUCGAGACGUCGGCGGAAACCAUCUGGCUAGAGUCCGGAAGAGGAGAGUGGAAUUCCUGGUGUAGCGGUGAAAUGCGCAGAUAUCAGGAAGAACACCCGUGGCGAAGGCGGCUCUCUGGGACGGUACUGACGCUGAGACGCGAAAGCGUGGGGAGCGAACAGG
RNAcentral lists this ribosomal RNA (253 nucleotides) under uncultured bacterium. Its description in RNAcentral is "partial 16S ribosomal RNA". It matches the Rfam family "Bacterial small subunit ribosomal RNA", at positions 524 to 776 of the family's 1533-position model. The record is from RNAcentral.